CCAACCGGGAUUGCCUUAGUAACGGCGAGUGAAGCGGCAAAAGCUCAAAUUUGAAAUCUGGUACCUUCGGUGCCCGAGUUGUAAUUUGGAGAGGGCAACUUUGGGGCCGUUCCUUGUCUAUGUUCCUUGGAACAGGACGUCAUAGAGGGUGAGAAUCCCGUGUGGCGAGGAGUGCGGUUCUUUGUAAAGUGCCUUCGAAGAGUCGAGUUGUUUGGGAAUGCAGCUCUAAGUGGGUGGUAAAUUCCAUCUAAAGCUAAAUAUUGGCGAGAGACCGAUAGCGAACAAGUACAGUGAUGGAAAGAUGAAAAGAACUUUGAAAAGAGAGUGAAAAAGUACGUGAAAUUGUUGAAAGGGAAGGGCAUUUGAUCAGACAUGGUGUUUUGUGCCCUCUGCUCCUUGUGGGUAGGGGAAUCUCGCAUUUCACUGGGCCAGCAUCAGUUUUGGUGGCAGGAUAAAUCCAUAGGAAUGUAGCUUGCCUCGGUAAGUAUUAUAGCCUGUGGGAAUACUGCCAGCUGGGACUGAGGACUGCGACGUAAGUCAAGGAUGCUGGCAUAAUGGUUAUAUGCCGCCCGUCUUGAAACACGGACCUCCUGUGUGAGGGGUCCCCCUAAA
RNAcentral lists this ribosomal RNA (612 nucleotides) under Saccharomyces cerevisiae (brewer's yeast). RNAcentral describes it as "eukaryotic LSU rRNA". It matches the Rfam family "Eukaryotic large subunit ribosomal RNA", at positions 65 to 664 of the family's 3401-position model. The record is from RNAcentral. Lineage: Eukaryota; Fungi; Ascomycota; Saccharomycetes; Saccharomycetales; Saccharomycetaceae.